AUUGAUUUUGGUCGCCAACGAGUGGCGGACGGGUGAGUAACACGUAGGUAACCUGCCCAGAAGCGGGGGACAACAUUUGGAAACAGAUGCUAAUACCGCAUAACAGCGUUGUUCGCAUGAACAACGCUUAAAAGAUGGCUUCUCGCUAUCACUUCUGGAUGGACCUGCGGUGCAUUAGCUUGUUGGUGGGGUAACGGCCUACCAAGGCGAUGAUGCAUAGCCGAGUUGAGAGACUGAUCGGCCACAAUGGGACUGAGACACGGCCCAUACUCCUACGGGAGGCAGCAGUAGGGAAUCUUCCACAAUGGGCGCAAGCCUGAUGGAGCAACACCGCGUGAGUGAAGAAGGGUUUCGGCUCGUAAAGCUCUGUUGUUAAAGAAGAACACGUAUGAGAGUAACUGUUCAUACGUUGACGGUAUUUAACCAGAAAGUCACGGCUAACUACGUGCCAGCAGCCGCGGUAAUACGUAGGUGGCAAGCGUUAUCCGGAUUUAUUGGGCGUAAAGAGAGUGCAGGCGGUUUUCUAAGUCUGAUGUGAAAGCCUUCGGCUUAACCGGAGAAGUGCAUCGGAAACUGGAUAACUUGAGUGCAGAAGAGGGUAGUGGAACUCC
RNAcentral lists this ribosomal RNA (611 nucleotides) under Limosilactobacillus fermentum. Its description in RNAcentral is "bacterial SSU rRNA". It matches the Rfam family "Bacterial small subunit ribosomal RNA", at positions 73 to 670 of the family's 1533-position model. The record is from RNAcentral. Lineage: Bacteria; Bacillati; Bacillota; Bacilli; Lactobacillales; Lactobacillaceae.